CAAACGACUCUCGGCAACGGAUAUCUCGGCUCUUGCAUCGAUGAAGAACGUAGCGAAAUGCGAUACUUGGUGUGAAUUGCAGAAUCCCGUGAACCAUCGAGUCUUUGAACGCAAGUUGCGCCCGAGGCCAUUAGGUCGAGGGCACGUCUGCCUGGCCGUCACAC
Molecule: ribosomal RNA, 164 nt
Filed under: Aconitum nipponicum
Lineage: Eukaryota; Viridiplantae; Streptophyta; Magnoliopsida; Ranunculales; Ranunculaceae
Also listed under: 1 other name
Description: 5.8S rRNA
Rfam family: 5.8S ribosomal RNA
About the family: 5.8S ribosomal RNA (5.8S rRNA) is a component of the large subunit of the eukaryotic ribosome. It is transcribed by RNA polymerase I as part of the 45S precursor that also contains 18S and 28S rRNA.
Source: RNAcentral